GCCCAAAUUUGAAAUCGGGCAACCGAGUUGUAAUUUGGAGACGGGACUAUAAAAAGGAGGAAGGCGAUUAAGUGCCUUGGAACAGGCUGCCGUAGAGGGUGAGAGCCCCGUGAAUCGCUGGAGACCGAUCAAUUAGUGCCCGCCGAAGAGUCGAGUUGUUUGGGAAUGCAGCUCUAAGUGGGUGGUAUAUUCCAUCUAAGGCUAAAUAUUAGCGAGAGACCGAUAGCAAACAAGUACAGUGAUGGAAAGAUGAAAAGAAUUUUGGAAAGAGAGUGAAAUAGUACGUGAAAUUGUUGAAAGGGAAGGGUAUUUGAUCCGACAUGGUGUUUAGCAGCGGCCCGUUCCUCGUGGAUGGGUGCACCUGGUUUACACUGGGCCAGCAUCGGUUCUGGGAGCCAUAUACGGGGUUCGUGAAUGUGGCCCUUCGAUUCUGUCGGAGGGUGUUAUAGCGCGGACAUCUUGUGGCUAGCCGGGACCGGGGACUGCGGUGACUUGUCCCCAAGGAUGCUGGCAUAACGAGCACAUACCACCCGUUCUUGAAACACGGACC
RNAcentral lists this ribosomal RNA (550 nucleotides) under Brettanomyces bruxellensis. RNAcentral's name for it is "eukaryotic LSU rRNA". It matches the Rfam family "Eukaryotic large subunit ribosomal RNA", at positions 107 to 667 of the family's 3401-position model. Lineage: Eukaryota; Fungi; Ascomycota; Pichiomycetes; Pichiales; Pichiaceae. The record is from RNAcentral.